RNAcentral lists this unclassified non-coding RNA (945 nucleotides) under Hevea brasiliensis (rubber tree). Lineage: Eukaryota; Viridiplantae; Streptophyta; Magnoliopsida; Malpighiales; Euphorbiaceae. The record is from RNAcentral.
CCCCCCCCCUCUAGUGAACAUAUAUUCUUGUUUGAAUUGGAAAAAUUCCUGGCACGUCUUGCCAACCCAGGACAGGAUGGCAAAACAACUCUUGCGUAACAAUCGUUUUCAUUUAAGCAUAUCCACAAUUCUAGACGCAUAUUACAAUGUUGUGGGUGUCAUCAAUUGGAUAUAAUUAGCUUUCCCUUUUCAGAAAGUAGAAAAAGAAUAAUCCAAAUGGAAGCAAAAUUCGAAUAUGGUUAUGCUGUUCUUCUUUUCUUUUGUAUUGACACUGUAGAAUGAUGAAAAUUUCUAUGACACGGCCAUUAGCCCAUAAAGAAAUCGUCUAACAUGCAGCCAGUAGCCAUAGCAUAAUUAGAGAUGAUAUUGCAAUAGUUACCCAGCUCAAAAAGGCCAAUGCAACUGACAUUUGGUACUUUUCGCAUUCCCUCAAAUAACUACAGUGUCCAACAUCAUGAAACAGGAGCACUGUGAUGCCUGCCGAGGCAGAAGCUGCUGCUAGAGACAACGUUGCUGUUACCCAAUCUCCCACUACGAAAAGGCUGACUAAAAUAGAAUUGUGGAGAACCUUCUUCCGGACCAAGGCAUAUGCAUCUAAUAAUGCAAGCCCAAAGCUCCAUAUGACUUGCAAACCCAUUGAAGCUAUAAGAUAGCAGAAAGCAGUGAAAUUGAAGAAGUUGGAAGUGGUGGCCAUGGCAGUAAUUGAGCCCACUGCAAAAAUACACUGCGAAAUCCUCAAAGCAAGAGCAGUCAAUGUUCCCGGAGUCCCAGCAAAAUCCUUCAUUUUUUUUUUUUUUUUCUGUUUCUUUUUUUGAGGCAUCCACCAAACCCAGUAAAUUUCAGCCUCUUAGUUUAUCAAUGAAAAUACCCAUCUCCCAAAAAUCAACCAGAAACAGAAAAGCAAAGACCUUUCAACUCGAAUCACCAAUCUUCACUGAGAUUGAA